AUGCGUGGUGGAGGCAACACGGUGAGGCCAAGGAUCCAACUCUGCUAUUUAUUAUGUAGUCUGCGUCACACAACUCUGCAUUGCAUUGCCUGCAUAAUAGUACAGCUCUGCAUUGGAUCUCUGCUCUACAGAGAUUGCCCGGCUGGGGAUUGUGCGUGCUCUAUGAGUUCACAGAACUGCGCACAAACCACUGAGGGUCUUGGCACACCGGUUUCUGGCCAGCCGGAUAGGAUGCAGCAGGUUCAGCACACGGUUCAGACGCAUGGAUAUGGACUGGCAAGAAAGCACACGUAUGAUUGGGUCGUUCUUAUUCUCCUCGCCGCGUUCGUGGUCGUCUUGCAUUAUGCUCCCCCGUUUAACCGGUUCGUCGGGAAGGAUAUGAUGACUGAUAUUAGGUACCCGGUGAAACAGAGUACCGUGCCAGCAUGGGCUGUUCCUGUAAUCUCUAUGCUGUGCCCUGUGCUUGUCUUCAUAGCACUGUAUGUUGCUAGAAGAGACGUCUAUGAUCUUCACCACGCAAUACUAGGUGUUGUUUUUGCUGUGCUGAUCACUGCCGCUUUCACUGAUGUGAUAAAGAAUGCGGUAGGGAGACCUAGGCCAGACUUCUUUUGGCGGUGCUUUCCUGAUGGAAGGCAGGUAUAUGAUCAAGUGACAGGUGGUGUGAUUUGCCAUGGCGAGAAAGGUUUCUUAACCGAUGGGCGCAAGAGUUUUCCUAGUGGACACACGUCGUGGUCUUUUGCUGGACUUGGAUUUUUGUCACUAUACUUAUCUGGCAAAAUUAAGGCGUUUGAUCGCAAAGGUCACGUGGCAAAACUUUGCAUCGUGAUUCUUCCUCUUCUUCUUGCUUCGCUUGUUGGGAUUUCUAGAAUAGACAACUAUCGACACCACUGGGAGGAUGUGUUUGUCGGCGGCCUGAUUGGAUAUAUCAUGGCAGUGCUGUGCUAUCUGCACUUCUUUCCUCCUCCAUAUCACCAUCAAGGCUGGGGGCCCUAUGCAUACUUCCACAUGCUGGAGGAGCUUGAGGCGGGCAAUUCAAAUAAUGCACAAAACCAACAGUCUGCAGGUCAGCAUCAUAUCGGAUUGACCGGCCAACACCAUAACGGGAGAUCAAGAAAUGAUUUGGAAUCUGGAAGUGUGUAA
This 1140-nucleotide ribosomal RNA is filed under the name Triticum aestivum (bread wheat). RNAcentral's name for it is "partial small subunit ribosomal RNA". Lineage: Eukaryota; Viridiplantae; Streptophyta; Magnoliopsida; Poales; Poaceae. The record is from RNAcentral.